CAGCAUCUUUACACCAAGAGCCCUGA
This 26-nucleotide non-coding RNA is filed under the name Homo sapiens (human). The record is from RNAcentral. Lineage: Eukaryota; Metazoa; Chordata; Mammalia; Primates; Hominidae.